UACGAAGGGGGCUAGCGUUGUUCGGAAUUACUGGGCGUAAAGCGCGCGCAGGCGGCCUUUCAAGUCAGGGGUGAAAGCCCGGAGCUCAACUCCGGAAUUGCCUUUGAAACUGUCAGGCUCGAGUACGGGAGAGGUGAGUGGAAUUCCCAGUGUAGAGGUGAAAUGCGUAGAUAUUGGGAGGAACACCGGUGGCGAAGGCGGCAUCCUGGACCAACACUGACGCUGAGUGAGCGAAAGCCAGGGGAGCAAACGGG
This 254-nucleotide ribosomal RNA is filed under the name uncultured prokaryote. RNAcentral describes it as "partial 16S ribosomal RNA". It matches the Rfam family "Bacterial small subunit ribosomal RNA", at positions 524 to 776 of the family's 1533-position model. The record is from RNAcentral.